RNAcentral lists this ribosomal RNA (432 nucleotides) under uncultured eukaryote. Its description in RNAcentral is "bacterial SSU rRNA". It matches the Rfam family "Eukaryotic small subunit ribosomal RNA", at positions 592 to 1018 of the family's 1831-position model. The record is from RNAcentral.
CAAUAGCGUAUAUUAAAGUUGUUGCGGUUAAAAGCUCGUAGUUGGAUUUCUGUCUGAGGCGGCCGGUCCACUUUCUGAGUGAGCAUCUGGUCCGCUUUGGGCAUCCUCCUGGGGAACGUUUCCGCGCUUGAUUGUGUGGUACGGAAUCUAGGACUUUUACUUUGAGGAAAUUAGAGUGUUUAAAGCAGGCUAUUGCCUUGAAUACAUUAGCAUGGAAUAAUAAUCUAGGACUUCGGUUCUAUUUUGUUGGUUUCUUAGUACUGAAGUAAUGAUUGAUAGGGAGUAGUUGGGGGUUGGCUAGUAUUGUACCGGCCAGAGGUGAAAUUACUUGGAUUCGGUCAAGACUAACUUAAUGCGAAAGCAUUCACCAAGGAUGUCUUCUUUUAAUUCAAGAACGAAAGUUAGGGGGAGUCGAAGACGAUCAGAUACCGU